RNAcentral lists this unclassified non-coding RNA (2944 nucleotides) under Mizuhopecten yessoensis (Yesso scallop). RNAcentral's name for it is "derlin-2-like, transcript variant X1". The record is from RNAcentral. Lineage: Eukaryota; Metazoa; Mollusca; Bivalvia; Pectinida; Pectinidae.
UAUUUUGUGUUCCGAAUUGGAAAAAAACAAGAGUUUCCGAAUGCGUUAUGGUACUUGACAUGAAGCCUUGAAGGGUGGUUACUUGGUCCGAUUACCUGCUGCAGUUCAUCUAUUACGCUUUAAAUGAGGAAAACGCGGAGUCAAACAGUUUCACCCACUUUCACUUCCGCAAACCUGCGCCUGCGCCAUGUGGAUUGUGUAAAUUGUCAACAUACACGUAUCACAACCAUUGAUCAACGUAAGGUUGGGGAUACAGAACUUCAGAACGAUGGCAGCCCAGACUUUUCAACAGGAAUAUAUGCAGAUGCCCCCAAUUACGCGGGCAUACACAACAGCUUGUGUUUUAACAACAGUAGCCAUUCAACUAGAUGUGAUAACUCCUUUCCAAAUUUACUUCAAUCCAGAGCUUAUAUUUAGAAAAUAUCAGGUAUGGAGAUUAGUCACGAAUUUUAUGUACUUUGGACCGAUUGGGUUUAAUUUCUUAUUCAAUAUGAUAUUUGCUUACCGCUACUGCCGUUUACUGGAGGAAGGAUCUUUUCGUAACCGAACUGCUGACUUUUUCUUCAUGGUUUUAUUUGGAGCGGCUCUUAUGACUAUUUUCGGUUUGUUUGUUAACAUUGUGUUCCUGGGCAGUGCCUUCACCAUCAUGCUGGUCUACGUGUGGAGUAGAAGGAACCCGUACAUAAGGAUGAACUUCUUCGGCCUCAUGACCUUCCACGCCCCAUACCUACCGUGGGUCCUACUCGGCUUUUCUGUCCUGCUGGGAAAUUCUGUUCUCGUGGAUCUUAUGGGUAUUGCUGUCGGACAUGUGUAUUACUUUUUGGAAGAUGUAUUUCCUAAACAGAAAGGAGGAUUUAAAUUAUUAAAAACACCAGGAUUUUUGAAAUAUAUUUUGGAAGGAGCAGCUGAUGACCCAAAUUACAACCCACUCCCAGAAGACCGACCUGGAGGAUUUAACUGGGGAGAGGGUCAGGCUGCAGGGAACAGAGACCAGCCUAACCAGGGCUAACGAACACCUAUUUAUCUAUAAAUCUAUUGGUCUUAUUCCGCAAACUCGUCACAGUAACCAGGCUGUUUUACCGAGGAUCAGUCCGUGACUGUGAACUACGGGUAGAUAUUUUGUCUGAAUAAACACAGAAAAUCUGCUGUUGCACUUAUUGUUAUAACAGAAUGGUUGAAGGUAAUAGGAGAUAACUAUGAUUUAAGUGUCUUAUAUGUGUUACUAUGGAGGAUAUAUUUGGCAGUACUAUUGUCAACUUUCACUACUGAAAAAUCCAUUGACAUGACAACAACUCAGAUCUUAAAAUUUUUCCAGUAAAUCAAAAAAGCCAUAGAAAUGGUGUAGAAUGGAUAUAAAUCUGGACAGUAUGUGAAUUCAUGGCUGUUUGUUUUGGUUUAUUCAGAUCUUUUAUAUCGGAAUGCGAUAUUUGUUUAAAGUGUCUUCAAAUAUAAAGGUGUUUGUGGUUUCCUUAUAUUGUAUUUUGUGCAAUAAGAUUAGAAAAUGGGUUUUCAGUUUUUGAUUCACAAGUGUGUGGUGUCGAAAAAACAAAAUUUCCACUUUCUUUUAUUGUUGUCAAGUUGUCAAUGGUGUCUUCAAUUUUUCAGAUUUCUUGUUUUAUAUAUUUGAAUUAAUUGGUCGCCUCGCACAUUUACGAAGGAAAUAGAGAAAUACUGCAGUUGUCAUUUCCAAAUGUUUUGUUGUCAUUCAUCUUAUCAGGAUAAUGAUAUGCCGAUACUAAGUAGGAAGUGAAUGUAUUCGUGCUCAUUGUUCAAUAUUUUUAUUUCUACAUUGUAUAUAACAAAUCCUUUACAUUUCUUAGCUUCACCUUAUUGUCAAGCAAUUGCAGUUAGGUAAUCAUGGUUACGGUCGUCAACACUCAUGUGAUUAUGUUAAUUUACCCCCAGUUUGUCUUAGCAACAGAUAUGGUCAUUUAGAGAUUAGGUCAAUACCAAGGUCACUGAUACUAUUUAUAGGUUAAUCACCGCUAAUUUGUAACAGAUUCAUUGUCAUUAACUUCAAGGGCAAAGGGCCAUACAUGUGUUUAAGUCAUUUUUCUAGUUUCGUAAGAAAUCAUUUUGAUAUUGGCAUAGCUAGAAAGUAUUUAAGCACAUAUUAACACUAGUUAUAUUCCUGCCACUUUUUGAUGUUUUAAAAGUACUUGUUACACAAUGGACGGGUUAUGGUUUUCACUCACUGGUUGAUCACCAUAUGCUUUGUGUUCGGUCUCAUAUAUCUUCAUUUAAAAUGUUGUAAACAGGUUGUUUGAUUACUGGAAAUGAAUUGAAUAUUCAGUAUCAUCUACUAGUACACUAGUCGUAAAUUUCAAUAUCCUGAUAAUGAAGUCUAUUAAUCUGAAAGUGCCUGUCUUUUAGGUUACAGAACACCAUUCUGUCGGGAUCCUUGAAAUUCCAGUGGUACCGCUCACUUACAUUCUCUACACCCCUCGAAUAUGUCAUGACAAAAUUGAAGGCACAAAGUUAGUGAUUUGAUUGGUUUCAUUUGUAAAAACAUGACCAAGCACAAUGCUGAUGCUGUCCUUUGAAGCUUACAAAGGCGAUACAUCCAAAUUCAAAGCCAGUCAACUUACAAUUUAUCCUGCUGGGUGAUUCUAUAGAUAUUUAUGUGACUACAAGACUACACAUGAAUUUCACUCCAGCCAGCUACAAUAAACAUAUAUUAGAUGUUGGUUUUUACACAUUUGUCCUCUAUUGUCAUCUAAAAAGUAUUUGAAGUAAGCAUAGAACACGAAAGUUUGAUAGCAUCUGUAUAUACGUACAAUAUAUAAGGAUUUUCUUCAAACGUCAUACAAUGCUAAAACAUUCGAGAAUUGAUUGAAAAGAUUGAAAAUCAAAUAGUCCUAUUUCAUGUCUGUAAGAAAUUGUGUGUAAUAAUGUUUUUAUUGCAAUAUUUUAUGAAAAUAUAAUAAAGUUUGAUGACCGAGAA